AUGGCGUCGUCAAGCGGGCUGAGGAGCUGCAGCGCCGUGGGCGUGCCGAGCCUGCUGGCGCCUUCGUCCCGGUCCGGCCGCUCCGGGCUGCCGUUCUGCGCCUACGCCACCACCUCCGGCCGCGUCACCAUGUCCGCCGAGUGGUUCCCCGGCCAGCCCCGCCCCGCCCACCUCGACGGCUCCUCGCCAGGGGACUUCGGGUUCGACCCCCUGGGCCUCGCCACCGUGCCGGAGAACUUCGAGCGGUUCAAGGAGUCCGAGAUCUACCACUGCCGCUGGGCCAUGCUCUGCGUGCCUGGGGUGCUGGUGCCGGAGGCGCUGGGGCUGGGCAACUGGGUGAAGGCGCAGGAGUGGGCGGCGCUCCCCGACGGGCAGGCGACGUACCUGGGCAACCCGGUGCCGUGGGGCAACCUGCCGACCAUCCUGGCGAUCGAGUUCCUGGCCAUCGCCUUCGCGGAGCAGCAGCGCACCAUGGAGAAGGACCCGGAGAAGAAGAAGUACCCCGGCGGCGCCUUCGACCCGCUCGGCUUCUCCAAGGACCCCGCCAAGUUCGAGGAGCUCAAGCUCAAGGAGAUCAAGAACGGGCGGCUGGCGAUGCUGGCGUUCGUGGGGUUCUGCGUGCAGCAGUCGGCGUACCCCGGCACCGGCCCGCUGGAGAACCUGGCCACGCACCUCGCGGACCCGUGGCACAACAACAUCGGCGACAUCGUCAUCCCCAGAAAUAUCUACGGCCCUUGA
This 738-nucleotide ribosomal RNA is filed under the name Triticum aestivum (bread wheat). RNAcentral's name for it is "partial small subunit ribosomal RNA". Lineage: Eukaryota; Viridiplantae; Streptophyta; Magnoliopsida; Poales; Poaceae. The record is from RNAcentral.